GACGAACGCUGGCGGCGUGCUUAACACAUGCAAGUCGAACGGAAAGGCCCUGCUUUUGUGGGGUGCUCGAGUGGCGAACGGGUGAGUAACACGUGAGUAUCCUGCCCUUGACUUUGGGAUAACUUCAGGAAACUGGGGCUAAUACCGGCUAGGAGCUCCUGCUGCAUGGCGGGGGUUGGAAAGUUUCGGCGGUUGGGGAUGGACUCGCGGCUUAUCCGAUUGUUGGUCGGGUAGUUGCUUACCAAGGCUUUGAAGGGUAGCCGGCCUGAGAGGGUGACCGGCAAAAUGGGGACUGUGAUACGGCCCAGACUACUACGGGAGGCAGCAGUGGGGAAGAGUGCACGAUGGGGGGAAGCCUGAUGCAGCAACGCCGCGUGAGGGAUGGUGGCCUUCGGGUUGUAAACCGCUUUCGCCGGUAACGAAGCGUGAGUGACGGUAAUGGGUAAAGAAGCACCGGCUAACUACGUG
Molecule: ribosomal RNA, 468 nt
Filed under: uncultured bacterium
Lineage: Bacteria
Description: partial 16S ribosomal RNA
Rfam family: Bacterial small subunit ribosomal RNA
Source: RNAcentral